GAUGAACGCUGGCGGCGUGCCUAAUACAUGCAAGUCGAGCGAACAGACGAGGAGCUUGCUCCUCUGACGUUAGCGGCGGACGGGUGAGUAACACGUGGAUAACCUACCUAUAAGACUGGGAUAACUUCGGGAAACCGGAGCUAAUACCGGAUAAUUUAUUGAACCGCAUGGUUCAAUAGUGAAAGACGGUUUUGCUGUCACUUAUAGAUGGAUCCGCGCCGCAUUAGCUAGUUGGUAAGGUAACGGCUUACCAAGGCAACGAUGCGUAGCCGACCUGAGAGGGUGAUCGGCCACACUGGAACUGAGACACGGUCCAGACUCCUACGGGAGGCAGCAGUAGGGAAUCGUCCGCAAUGGGCGAAAGCUUGACGGAGCAACGCCGCGUGAGUGAUGAAGGUCUUCGGAUCGUAAAACUCUGUUAUUAGGGAAGAACAAAUGUGUAAGUAACUAUGCACGUCUUGACGGUACCUAAUCAGAAAGCCACGGCUAACUACGUG
RNAcentral lists this ribosomal RNA (497 nucleotides) under uncultured bacterium. RNAcentral describes it as "partial 16S ribosomal RNA". It matches the Rfam family "Bacterial small subunit ribosomal RNA", at positions 28 to 507 of the family's 1533-position model. The record is from RNAcentral.